AUUGAACGCUGGCGGCAGGCUUAACACAUGCAAGUCGAGCGGAUGAAAGUAGCUUGCUACCGGAUUCAGCGGCGGACGGGUGAGUAAUGCUUAGGAAUCUGCCUAUUAGUGGGGGACAACGUUCCGAAAGGAGCGCUAAUACCGCAUACGUCCUACGGGAGAAAGCAGGGGACCUUCGGGCCUUGCGCUAAUAGAUGAGCCUAAGUCGGAUUAGCUAGUUGGUAGGGUAAAGGCCUACCAAGGCGACGAUCUGUAGCGGGUCUGAGAGGAUGAUCCGCCACACUGGGACUGAGACACGGCCCAGACUCCUACGGGAGGCAGCAGUGGGGAAUAUUGGACAAUGGGGGGAACCCUGAUCCAGCCAUGCCGCGUGUGUGAAGAAGGCCUUUUGGUUGUAAAGCACUUUAAGCGAGGAGGAGGCUACCUAGAUUAAUACUUUAGGAUAGUGGACGUUACUCGCAGAAUAAGCACCGGCUAACUCUGUGCCAGCAGCCGCGGUAAUACAGAGGGUGCGAGCGUUAAUCGGAUUUACUGGGCGUAAAGCGUGCGUAGGCGGCCAAUUAAGUCAAAUGUGAAAUCCCCGAGCUUAACUUGGGAAUUGCAUUCGAUACUGGUUGGCUAGAGUAUGGGAGAGGAUGGUAGAAUUCCAGGUGUAGCGGUGAAAUGCGUAGAGAUCUGGAGGAAUACCGAUGGCGAAGGCAGCCAUCUGGCCUAAUACUGACGCUGAGGUACGAAAGCAUGGGGAGCAAACAGGAUUAGAUACCCUGGUAGUCCAUGCCGUAAACGAUGUCUACUAGCCGUUGGGGCCCUUGAGGCUUUAGUGGCGCAGCUAACGCGA
Molecule: ribosomal RNA, 838 nt
Filed under: bacterium
Lineage: Bacteria
Description: bacterial SSU rRNA
Rfam family: Bacterial small subunit ribosomal RNA
Source: RNAcentral